ACUCCUACGGGAGGCAGCAGUGAGGAAUAUUGGACAAUGGAGGCAACUCUGAUCCAGCCAUGCCGCGUGCAGGAAGACUGCCCUAUGGGUUGUAAACUGCUUUUAUACGGGAAGAAACAGCUCUACGUGUAGAGCCUUGACGGUACCGUAAGAAUAAGCACCGGCUAACUCCGUGCCAGCAGCCGCGGUAAUACGGAGGGUGCAAGCGUUAUCCGGAAUCAUUGGGUUUAAAGGGUCCGUAGGCGGACGAUUAAGUCAGAGGUGAAAGUCUGCAGCUCAACUGUAGAAUUGCCUUUGAUACUGGUUGUCUUGAAUUAUUGUGAAGUGGUUAGAAUAAGUAGUGUAGCGGUGAAAUGCAUAGAUAUUACUUAGAAUACCAAUUGCGAAGGCAGAUCACUAACAAUAUAUUGAACGCUGAAGGGACGAAAGCGUGGGGAAGCGAACAGGAUUAGAUACCCUGGUAGGAUAGCG
RNAcentral lists this ribosomal RNA (471 nucleotides) under uncultured bacterium. RNAcentral describes it as "bacterial SSU rRNA". It matches the Rfam family "Bacterial small subunit ribosomal RNA", at positions 335 to 799 of the family's 1533-position model. The record is from RNAcentral.